CCACCAGCUCCCCACUUUUAUAGGGUAGCCAGAAAUCAGUCUGAUGAGGAAAGAAACCUUUCUGUAUAACCCACCCAGAAGAACAUGGCCAGAUGACUGACCUGCCAGAUUCUCUUCCUUCUUGCCUGCAUAAGCAGGGCCACCAGGUGAAACAGUAGAGAGAAACUCCAUCUUCUUCUGCUCACUUGCUCUGUGAGGAUGGAAAAGGAAGGCCCUUCUCAGGCAGAGGGGAAGCGCAUCGCCUGCUGAAGAGACCACUUUCCACAGAAAUCUGCACAGACCGCAGUCCUGUGAUUGGGCCACCUGGAGAGGCCAGUGAAACGCUUUAGCAGGCAAAACUUCCCUGACCAAGGAUCGAACCCAUGCCUCCUGAAGUGGAAGUGUGGAGUCUUAACCACUGGACCACCAGGGAAGUCCCCCCAAACCUUAAUCUUAAAAUACUUAAGGAAAAAAAAUACUUAAGGAAACAAAAUAAAGUCUGAUUUUUUAAGUGUUUUGGUUGACAUGGGUUGACAUGGCAAGGGGAGACCGGGCUCAGUACUAAGGCAAAGCCAUUGCAGCGUGAAUCCUGGAGCCCAGAGACCCAGGGGGCUGGGCCUGCAAGGUGCCUGGGCUCCGAAGCCUGUGCCAGCAUGCUGGAGCCCGCAGUGUUUUUUAAUCUGCUGUCUGGCUGGGUUUACUGAAGACAAGCUGUUCCAAAAACAAUAAGCAGCAGCCAUUGUGGGGGUCCCGCUCUUGUCUGACUCAACUCCCAUUCGGGCAUUAGCUUACUUUGGUGGAGAAAAAGGGAAAAUGCAGGACUGGCAUUCACUGUGACUUGGCUUUGUUCCUCAGACCCUGUAGGGAGAGGCGCCAGGCCAGGAGCCAAGUCCUACGAGGACACCGGUCUGUGUGAUCGAGGCGGGGGCGACGGCCGCUCUGAAAGGACAGCUUUGAGAAGAGGCCACUCUUUAAGCAGGGUCCAUGCUGUCAUUUUGUAAAACUGACCCCUGAUUUCUAGGUGCAGCCCAGAUGCUUCUCAAAAGAAGGCCUGUCUUUGAAACUGGACCAGAAGGGGGUAAAGUGGAAUCUGUUGUCUUUCCCAAGCUUUGAUUAGAGAUUUUUUUUUAACUUUUUAUUAUAUAUCAUAUGUCAGAAUGUGGCUGGUUAACAAUGUUGUGAUAAUUUCAGGGGCACAGAAAAGGGACUCAGCCAUACAUAUACAUGAACUGUAGUGCUGGCAAAGACUCUUGAGAGUCCUUUGAACUGCAUGGAGAUCAAACCAGUCCAUCCUAAAGGAAAUCAGUCCUGAAGGUUCAUUGGAAGGACUGAUGCUAAAGCUGAAACUCCAAUACUUUGGCCACCUGAUGCAAAGAACUGACUCAUUGGAAAAGACCCUGAUGCUGGGAAAGAUUGAAGGCAAGAGGAGAAGGGGACAACAGAGGAUGAGAUGGUUUGAUGGUGUCACCAACUCGAUGGACAUGAGUUUGAGCAAGCUCUGGGAAUUGGUGAAGGACAAGGAAGCCUGGUGUGCUGCAGUCCAUGGAGUCACAAAGAGUCAGACACAACUGAGUGACUGAACUGAACUGAUUCUCCCCCAAACUCCCCUCCCAUCCAGGCUGCCACAUAACAUUGAGCAGAGUUCCUUGUGCUAUACAGUAGGUCCCCAUUGGUUAUCCAUUUAAAAUAUAGCUGUGUGUACAUGUCGAUCCCAAACUGCCUAACUAUCCCUUCCCCCCUGGUUGAUUAGAGUUUUGUUCUGUUUAAGAAACAUCCUUUGGAAAAUAAUC
Long non-coding RNA from Dama dama (fallow deer), 1769 nucleotides. RefSeq lists it as uncharacterized. The record is from RefSeq and is a predicted model, not a curated record. Lineage: Eukaryota; Metazoa; Chordata; Mammalia; Artiodactyla; Cervidae. The transcript has 3 exons.